RNAcentral lists this ribosomal RNA (628 nucleotides) under uncultured Bacteroidales bacterium. RNAcentral describes it as "bacterial SSU rRNA". It matches the Rfam family "Bacterial small subunit ribosomal RNA", at positions 123 to 748 of the family's 1533-position model. Lineage: Bacteria; Pseudomonadati; Bacteroidota; Bacteroidia; Bacteroidales. The record is from RNAcentral.
AACCUGCCGUCUACUCUUGGCCAGCCUUCUGAAAGGAAGAUUAAUCCAGGAUGGGAUCAUGAGUUCACAUGUCCGCAUGAUUAAAGGUAUUUUCCGGUAGACGAUGGGGAUGCGUUCCAUUAGAUAGUAGGCGGGGUAACGGCCCACCUAGUCAACGAUGGAUAGGGGUUCUGAGAGGAAGGUCCCCCACAUUGGAACUGAGACACGGUCCAAACUCCUACGGGAGGCAGCAGUGAGGAAUAUUGGUCAAUGGGCGAUGGCCUGAACCAGCCAAGUAGCGUGAAGGAUGACUGCCCUAUGGGUUGUAAACUUCUUUUAUAAAGGAAUAAAGUCGGGUAUGCAUACCCGUUUGCAUGUACUUUAUGAAUAAGGAUCGGCUAACUCCGUGCCAGCAGCCGCGGUAAUACGGAGGAUCCGAGCGUUAUCCGGAUUUAUUGGGUUUAAAGGGAGCGUAGAUGGAUGUUUAAGUCAGUUGUGAAAGUUUGCGGCUCAACCGUAAAAUUGCAGUUGAUACUGGAUGUCUUGAGUGCAGUUGAGGCAGGCGGAAUUCGUGGUGUAGCGGUGAAAUGCUUAGAUAUCACGAAGACUCCGAUUGCGAAGGCAGCCUGCUAAGCUGCAACUGACAUUG